GACGAACGCUGGCGGCGUGCCUAAUACAUGCAAGUCGAACGCACUCUCGUUUAGAUUGAAGGAGCUUGCUCCUGAUUGAUAAACAUUUGAGUGAGUGGCGGACGGGUGAGUAACACGUGGGUAACCCGCCCUAAAGUGGGGGAUAACAUUUGGAACAGAUGCUAAUACCGCAUAAAACCUAACACCGCAUGGUGUAGGGUUGAAAGAUGGUUUCGGCUAUCACUUUAGGAUGGACCCGCGGUGCAUUAGUUAGUUGGUGAGGUAAAGGCUCACCAAGACCGUGAUGCAUAGCCGACCUGAGAGGGUAAUCGGCCACACUGGGACUGAGACACGGCCCAGACUCCUACGGGAGGCAGCAGUAGGGAAUCUUCCACGAUGGACGAAAGUCUGAUGGAGCAACGCCGCGUGAGUGAAGAAGGUUUUCGGAUCGUAAAACUCUGUUGUUGGAGAAGAAUGUAUCUGAUAGUAACUGAUCAGGUAGUGACGGUAUCCAACCAGAAAGCC
Molecule: ribosomal RNA, 504 nt
Filed under: uncultured bacterium
Lineage: Bacteria
Description: bacterial SSU rRNA
Rfam family: Bacterial small subunit ribosomal RNA
Source: RNAcentral